UACGUAGGGUGCAAGCGUUGUCCGGAAUUAUUGGGCGUAAAGAGCUCGUAGGCGGUUCGUCGCGUCGGCUGUGAAAUCCCGAGGCUCAACCUCGGGUCUGCAGUCGAUACGGGCGGACUGGAGUUCGGCAGGGGAGACUGGAAUUCCUGGUGUAGCGGUGAAAUGCGCAGAUAUCAGGAGGAACACCGAUGGCGAAGGCAGGGUCUCUGGGCCGAUACUGACGCUGAGGAGCGAAAGCGUGGGGAGCGAACAGG
This 254-nucleotide ribosomal RNA is filed under the name uncultured bacterium. Its description in RNAcentral is "partial 16S ribosomal RNA". It matches the Rfam family "Bacterial small subunit ribosomal RNA", at positions 524 to 776 of the family's 1533-position model. The record is from RNAcentral.